AUUGAACGCUGGCGGCAUGCCUUACACAUGCAAGUCGAACGGCAGCACGGGUGCUUGCACCUGGUGGCGAGUGGCGAACGGGUGAGUAGUACAUCGGAACGUACCUUAUCGUGGGGGAUAACGCAGCGAAAGCUGUGCUAAUACCGCAUACGCCCUGAGGGGGAAAGCGGGGGAUCGCAAGACCUCGCGCGAUUCGAGCGGCCGAUGCCUGAUUAGCUUGUUGGUGGGGUAAAAGCCCACCAAGGCGACGAUCAGUAGCUGGUCUGAGAGGACGAUCAGCCACACUGGGACUGAGACACGGCCCAGACUCCUACGGGAGGCAGCAGUGGGUAAUUUUGGACAAUGGGGGCAACCCUGAUCCAGCAAUGCCGCGUGAGUGAAGAAGGCCUUCGGGUUGCAAAGCUCUUUUGUCAGGGAAGAGACACCGGCUCUAACACAGUCCGGGAAUGACGGUACCUGAAGAAUAAGCACCGGCUAACUACGUGCCAGCCGCCGCGGUAA
This 501-nucleotide ribosomal RNA is filed under the name uncultured bacterium. RNAcentral's name for it is "partial 16S ribosomal RNA". It matches the Rfam family "Bacterial small subunit ribosomal RNA", at positions 29 to 523 of the family's 1533-position model. The record is from RNAcentral.